Molecule: ribosomal RNA, 1071 nt
Filed under: Bacillus amyloliquefaciens
Lineage: Bacteria; Bacillati; Bacillota; Bacilli; Caryophanales; Bacillaceae
Description: bacterial SSU rRNA
Rfam family: Bacterial small subunit ribosomal RNA
Source: RNAcentral
GAAGGCGGACGUAGACGUAGAGAUUGAUCCUGGCUCAGGAAGUCUUAACACGGGAGCCGUACCCGUGGAGAUUGUUCCUGCCUCGGGAAACCUGCCAGAAAAACCGGAACCCUCCGGUAAUCGGGGCUAAUACCGGAUGGUUGUUUGAACCGCAUGGUUCAAACAUAAAAGGUGGUUUCGGCUACCACUUACAGAUGGACCCGCGGCGCAUUAGCUAGUUGGUGAGGUAACGGCUCACCAAGGCGACGAUGCGUAGCCGACCUGAGAGGGUGAUCGGCCACACUGGGACUGAAACACGGCCCAAACUCCUACGGGAGGCAGCAGUAGGGAAUCUUCCGCAAUGGACGAAAGUCUGACGGAGCAACGCCGCGUGAGUGAUGAAGGUUUUCGGAUCGUAAAGCUCUGUUGUUAGGGAAGAACAAGUGCCGUUCAAAUAGGGCGGCACCUUGACGGUACCUAACCAAAAAGCCACGGUUAACUACGUGCCAGCAGCCGCGGUAAUACGUAGGUGGCAAGCGUUGUCCGGAAUUAUUGGGCGUAAAGGGCUCGCAGGCGGUUUCUUAAGUCUGAUGUGAAAGCCCCCGGCUCAACCGGGGAGGGUCAUUGGAAACUGGGGAACUUGAGUGCAGAAGAGGAGAGUGGAAUUCCACGUGUAGCGGUGAAAUGCGUAGAGAUGUGGAGGAACACCAGUGGCGAAGGCGACUCUCUGGUCUGUAACUGACGCUGAGGAGCGAAAGCGUGGGGAGCGAACAGGAUUAGAUACCCUGGUAGUCCACGCCGUAAACGAUGAGUGCUAAGUGUUAGGGGGUUUCCGCCCCUUAGUGCUGCAGCUAACGCAUUAAGCACUCCGCCUGGGGAGUACGGUCGCAAGACUGAAACUCAAGGAAUUGACGGGGGCCCGCACAAGCGGUGAGCAUGUGUUUAAUCGAAGCAACGCGAAGACCUUACCAGGUCUUGACAUCCUCUGACAUCUAGAGAUAGGACGUCCCUUCGGGGGCAGAGUGACAGUGUGCAUGCUGUCGUCAGCUCGUGUCGUGAAAUGUGGGUAGUCCGCACGAGCGCAACCCUUGA